This 17991-nucleotide long non-coding RNA is filed under the name Marmota monax (woodchuck). The stretch from base 5566 to 5637 matches the Rfam family "tRNA". Lineage: Eukaryota; Metazoa; Chordata; Mammalia; Rodentia; Sciuridae. The record is from RNAcentral.
ACCCAGCAGAGUGAGAGGGAGAGAUCCAGGGGAACAGGAAAUGACAGGCGACUGGCCUCGGCUGGGCAGUGGGAAUGAGAAGGUGUUCCACCCCUGCCUAAAGGCCGGAGAUUGUCUCAGCUGACGUCUUUGAGUAUUUGAUCCAUACAGCAAUAGAGGGGUGAGAAACAAGGGGAGAAGUCUCUGCCACCCUGUUCCCAGGAGGAGAGGAGGGCAGGAGAGCGACUAUAGGUGAGAAAAUGACUUGUGAUCUGGAUAGCACGGAUGGCUAGAUUCCCAACACUUGACCUUCCCAGAACAGCGGUUCUCAAGUGUCCCUGCCCGCUGAAGCUGAGAAAUAAACUUCUCGUUAGCCUGGGUGAACAUCGAACAUUGUGGGGAAAUUACAAUAGCAGCAGCUACCGUUGGGUAAACAUCUACUGGUUUAGGCACCAAGCUUCGAGGUUUAGGUGGAUUUUCAUUUUAUACUUUUAAAAAUCCUCUGAGAUAAGCAUCAAAGGCAUUCCAAUAAGACUCAGAAAAAAAUUACUAUAGGAAAGAAGAAGUGAACCCCAGGUGUCCACAUAUAACUGAAUGUUAUAUGAAUACAAAAUCCUGAAACUGAAAAAUGAAAACAUCCUAAAAGGUCUGAGGUGUAGUGCGGCUGCUUGGAGCCAAAUGAGACCUUUGGACCAACAUAAUUUGUUAUAAGUAGAUUUAAAAAAACAACAACAAACAAACAGACUUCUGUGUGCGUUCCAUGUAAUGCAUUAUGUAGCAUCAUUAUCUGUGUUUUCAAUCAAUAUUUAUAGGAAUUCAACAUUAUAAAAUUUUCACAUGACAUUAUGUUUUAGAGGAAGAAAUGUAAGAUCAGAUAGGUGGAGAAUCUGCCCAGGAUCACACAACUUGUCAAUAAGAUAUACCUCAGUGAUGGAAUGACUAAUGUUGGAUGUGUAUGUUCCAAUGGUGUCCUAAGAUCAAAUGUCUUUGGGAGUCAUUAGAGUGUGAUGUCACCACUUCAUGUCACACAAUGGGUGCAUUGUGAUAGAUCCAAGUCAGUAUACAUACACGCCUCCAGUGGUAAGAGUUCACAGAUUAAUGUUAGAAGCUGGUCUGGCUGUCUUUGGCUUUCCCCCUUUAAACUAGUAAAAAUACCAUAUCAUGAAGGGAUUGUGGAGCUCUCUAGUCCAGCCCCAUACCAUACGUAGUCCCAGAGGGGUUGGGUGACUUGCCCAAGGUCACACAGCUGGAUAAAAGAAAACCACACAACACCCCAGGUGCAGCAGCAAAUCUGUGUCUGCUUCCUCUCUGCUUCUCUAGAAUGCCUCUUUGCCACUACAGAGUUUCAGGAGUUCAAGCCUCUUUGGCAGAGGAGGUUGGGUUUGGUUUUUCUCAAGCUCCUUAACAGGUUACAGGCGAGAUUUUACUCUGGAACUGAAAGUAGAAAUUUAUUUCGUUUGGUAGAAGACAUGGUUGUCUCACCCCAAUAAAUUAGGAUCUUCUUGUCCCACCAAAAAUAAAUAAAUUAAUUAAAUAAUUAUUUUACAGGGCUUGAAAGAAUAACAAAGAAAAAACAGGCAUGUGAGUUUUCUGAUCCUGGAUGGACGUUUUCCAGAAAAGGAAACUAAAUCUUCAUUGAUCCAUAGGAAGAAGGAAGCUCUCAGCCCCGUGAUGUCGUGGCACAAAGUCAGAGGCUUGGAGACCUCAACUCACUCAGGUGUGCAGCCAGACUCCUUGUCUCUUGUCCAACUCUCCCAUCAGUGUGUCAGUAAAGUCGCUCUUCUGGGUUCCUAGAGGCUAUGUGUAGGGCUGGUAAGACUCUACCAUAACUCAUAUACUUGGACAGGACGGGGGUGAUAAUGUGGACCUCUGGCAUCCUGGUCAUAGCUGAGGGGCAACAGGGAGCAAGGGGCAAUCUCAUCCAGAAAUGGACAAUGGAUAAUCCAGACAAAUACAAAGCUCUUUUAGAGGCAAUCAUGGUAUAUCAGUUAGCCUCUGCGGUGGCAUAACAAACCACUCCAAAAUUUAGAGGCUAGAUUUAUUUAACUCUUUAUUUAGCUCAUGAUUCCUCGAAUUAGCAAUUUGAGUUGGGCUCAGCUGGGUGAGGCUUUUGGUCCCGGCAAGAUCACUCCCAGAUCUUUGGCCCGCUGCUGGAUUUGCUGGGUCUGGCUGAUCUAGGGUGGCUCAUCUUAGCUGGUGAGCCUCUGCUCCAUGUGGUCUCUCGUUCUUAGCAGGACAGCCUGGCCUUUACACCUUGUAGUUGUAGGAUCCCAAAACAAGCAGAAGUCACUGCCAUCAUAUUCCAAUGGCUAAAACACACCAUAAGGUCAGUCCUGACUGAAGGACUGGAAAUAAUCCCCAGCUCUUGAUGGGAGAGACUACAAAGUCAUAUUGCUAAGAAGCAUAAAUAUAGAGAGGGGAGAAGGAUCGUCACCAGGUUUGCAAGUGAUCUUCCCUGAGAUCCAUUCUAACUCUUCUAGGAACAAAGUAAGAGCUUCAGAAAAAGAAAAAAAAAAAAAUGAACAGUCCAUCCAAGUAAGGUUUUGUGGCAGUAGCUUGCUGCAUACCUACUAUGCUCAAACCUUAAGCAGCCACAGUGGGUAGACCCAUAAGCAGUGGCAAGCCAGAGCCUCCUAGCACUGCCUCAUGAGAGCCAGCUGUUAGAUAUUCAGCAAUUUCAUGAGUUGGUUGCUAAACCAUCAGAGCUUGAAAGUGACCACGGUGGGAAUAUUUACACCCUGGGGCUGGGCAAGCACUGCAAAACAGGUGCUUCUUCUCCCAGAGAGCUGGUUACCAGCACCCCACUGCCUGUAGGCCAGACAAACACUACCUUCUCCAAUCUAGUAAGACAAACAGGCAGACAAGAACGAUUGCAAAGCAGCAAUCAGACAAGAUAACUUUAAUAUAUGAAGUAAACUGAGGGCCUGAAAAUUUUGAAGACAAAAGAAUUCAUAGUUCCCAGGAGGUAGAAAUUAGGGAUGGCAUCAAGGAGAAGGGGGUCUUUGUAGCUGGGCUUUGAAGGAAAAAUAAGGAUUGCCAUGACCAGAGAGAGGUACAGCUAACGCUGGAGGGAACAGCACAGAGUCAGAGGCACCUUCUGAGAGCAGCAGCCAGCCUGGCAGGAACGGCUGUGACUGCAGGUAUUUUGUUUAGUAUCAGUUUGACUUUAAAUGACAGAAAACCCCCAAUAACAGUGACUUAAAAGAGUCAGCUUUUUUUUUUUGGAGGGAGGGGUGGGGUGUUUGAUUGAUUUGUAUCCAGAGCCCUGCAUCCAUGUGCUAACCAGGCCCGAUCCUGCUUGGCUUCGAGAUCAGGCACACAUAGAGUGGUGUGGCCACGACAGCAAGUCCAGCUUCAUCCUCUCCCCACAAGAAAUCCUGGAAAAUACCCGGGCUAUCACAGGUGUGGUGGCUCUGCCCUCUACCCUCUACCCAGCCUUCAUAUCAUCCCUUGCUCUAGAAUCUAGAGAACAGGUGCAUGAUCUUGUCUCCUUCUGGGGUACAGCAGCCCCAAAGUUGACACCUAGCUCCCCAACUCUCUGUGUGAGCUUGAACAAAUUGCGUAAUCUUUGGGAAUCAUGGUUUCCCACAUAGGAAAAUGAGCAAAGUAACUCUCAGGCUUUAGGGAACGAUCCUAUGCAGAAUUUGACCCUAGAUAGGCAAUCAGGGGAAAUGGGGUGAUGGGGUAGUGUGUGUGUGCACGCACAUGCGUGUGCACACACACACACACACACACACAAGGUGAGCACCUGCUUCACAUGGGAGGUGAAAGAGAUUCUUUCCAAGCCCUGGCCAAAGCCCCUCUCAGCCUCCAUUUGUCUGCUCUGAGAAAGCUGCUCUAUGACAGCUUUGGUGGAAAGGGGGCCCAGGGAGCCUAAUCCUUGUGGAAUUUGAUUCUACGUGGGCAGCUGUGACCACUGGACCUUGACCACUUCAGACCAACUUUGCUGAUGUAGCCACGUCAAACACAGAGUCCGUGGAGGUAACUGUCCCAGCUCCCAGCCUGCCCACCCCCCACACCCACAGCUGGGACGAGGCAGUCACACCUGCCUGGAAAGGGCCGCUUUGGGAAGUGAUGCCCAUCCGUCCAGAAUCAAGGGGCAGUGCUGUUGCAGCUGGGGAAGGGGUGAGGACAGGAAGUUCACUGGGUCAGAGUUCCAAGCAAAUAUUUAGCAGAUCAAUGUUCAAGGUUGACCUUGAGUGUUCAUCCCUGGGUCAUCAGGAAGUGGCUUCCUGCCACUCUCACCCGCAUCUCCCCUUCUCUGCAGCCAUCAGGGACAGGACUUUCCUGGCUGGGGUUAGGGGCCCAUUUAUCCUACUAGCCCCUGGCCUAGAGCUGCCUGGCUUGCCCUCUAACCCUGGGUAGUCCUAGGACUCAAGAUUUUUCCCCAGAGAAAGCAUCAAGAAGAAGCCAGGCCAGGCACAGUGGUGCACACCUGUAAUCCCAGCAGUUCAGGAGGCCGAGGCAGGAGGAUCGUGAGUUCAAAGCCAGCCUCAGCAACUUAUCGAGGCCCUAAACAACUUAGUGAGACCUUGUCUCUAAAUACAAUCUAAAAAAGGGCUGGGGAUGUGACUCAGUGAUUAAGUGCCCCUGAGUUCAAUCCCCAGUACCAAAAAAAGAAAAAGAAGCAGCAGCCAGCCUCCAUGUAGGGGAGUUUCUGGCUUUGUGAAGUCCCCUCCCGGUGAAAGACUACCUCCUUGGUUGUCUCCCCUCAACCACGCUGGGCACACAUCAUGCCCCCAUCCAUGCUGAAGACAUCUCUUUCCCAGGUUCCUGUGUCAGAGAGCCUUAGAGGGAAGUGGGGGGUUGGACCCGAGCUCCACUGUGUCUAGAGAGGGAACUUCCCCUUCUGAGAAAGCAGCCACUGUUGCCCAGAGCCGAGAGCGAAACAGCACCUCUCUGAGCACUUUGUUCCACUUGCCGGAGGGCUAAAAAUAUACUGGCACUGCCAAACGCCAUCCUCUAGAGCCCAGGGGAGCUGGCAGAGUAGAAUAGUUAUCCUAGCACCUGGCACUAUUAAAAGGAGCAGGCAGAAUUAGCCAGGCUUCUAGGUGCCUCCUGCACACUUUGUCCCCAAAGACACUGCAUUUUGUCUGUUCUUCUUGCAGUGGGCUGGGUUUCCCUGCACCCUUGCCCACCCUGCUUCCUCUCUCUUUCCCCAGGCCGGACCCCAUUCACCCCUAGUGGGAGCCUGGGGCAUCUGUGUAAAUGUGCAUUUACAGUUGUCAAAUGGCAGCUCUGCUGCAAAACACAGCGGGAGCUUCCAAUUCCUCCAGCAAAGCCACAAUUAGCAGCAGGCUAAAAACGAACAUCCCCGUAGUGGGCCAUAACCCAGUGGCUUACAUUCAACAAACUGGCAUCCACACCCUGUUUCAAUCAGUCUUUCCAGGACCCCAAGCCUCUUUGACAGUUUGUUGGAAACUAUGCUCCCAGAAAAAAAAAUUGUUCCUGAGCCACAUUCACCCGGCAAUUUUAAGGAGUUUGUGGAUACCAGCAACCCCACCAAAGACAACACACCACACUCUGGAAAUCAGGCACUGAACUAGAUCCUGAGAUGGAAAGAUGAAUAAGGAAGGGACUAGGAUUGGGGGUGCAGCUCAGUGGUAGAGCACUUGUGUAGCAUGCACGAGGCCCUGAGUUCCAUCCUCAGCACCCCAAAUAUAAAUAUGCAUAUGAGAGAGACUGUGAUGCAAAUAAUACCAUGAGUGGAGGAGAGGUGGGGACCAUGGAUUAGGGGUUGGGAGGGUGGUUAUAUGGCAUAUAGGGAAAAGGGGACAUUUUGAUGGAAUUUUAAAGGAGAAACAGAGAAAAGGUAAGGUUGGAGACCUUGUGUACAUAGAAUUUGUGUUCACAGCAGGGCAUGAAGAAGAAAACUCAUUCAGAAGCAGGGGCAGUCUGACGAAGGAUAUGAAGGGUAAGUGUAUGCGUUUCUUCUCGGUGUGUAACAACCCAACACAAAUGCAGAGGCUGAAAAUAACACACACGCAUUAUUUCAGCUUUGGUGGGUCAGGGUCUGGGCGCGACUGGCUGGGUUCCCUGCUCAGGGACUCUCCAGGCUACACAAGGUGUCAGCUGGGGUUAUGAUUUUGUCUGAGGCUUGACAAGGAAGAAUCUUCUUCCAAGUUCAUUCAGAUUUUUCCCAGGAUUCAUUUCCUCACCCCAGCUAUUGGCUAGAGGCUGCCUUCAGCUCCUAGGACCGUCUGCGGCUCCCCGCCAUGUCCUCUCCAUAGGCAAUUUACAACAUGGCUGUUUUUUUCAAGGGUGGCAGAAUCUUGAUAAAGUCGGAUAAAACAGAAUUUUAUACAUAGAAGGUGGGAAUGCCAUAUUCUUGCUUCUUGCUGGAAGCAAGCCACCGAAUUUACCCUCUCUUAAGAGGAGGGGGUCAUUCGGAGGUAACACCAACAUCAUGGUGCCAUCUUGGAAUUCUGUCCACCCCAGCAAAUUCUGUCCCAGGUUUAGCUGAGAAAAGGGUUGGAGAGAGUUGUGACUACCCUUGUAUUGUGUAUAGUUGGGAGUUUGAACAGUAUCCUAUUGAAAACAGGAAACACUGAAAGGGAAUGGAGAAGGAAUGAUGAGAGUGGGGGCAAAAAGCCAAUGGGAAGGAAGUGCCAGGGUUCAGGGGAGAAAUAGUGAUGGGCUGUGGCCAUGGGAUGCAGAAGAAAGGCCCAAUAUCUGCCUGGCUGACCUGUGUUUCCUUUUGAUCUCCACUCAGAUGUCACCUGAUCAGCAGCUCUGGAGGCUGAGGCAGGAGGAUCUUGAAUUCAAAGCCAGCCUCAUCAAAAGCGAGGCACUAAGCAACUCAGUGAGACUCUGUCUCUGAAUAAAAUACAAAAUAGGGCUGGGGAUGUGGCUCAGUGGUCAAGUGCCCCUGAGUUCAAUCCCGGAUACCCCCCCCUAAAAAAGUCACCUGAACAGUAAGGCUCUCCCCAUCUACACAACAUAAAAGAGCCACCCACUCCUCUCUCUCCACCCCUCCCCCACCUUAUUGUCAGAGCACUUAUCAUCAUGGGCCUUACUAUGUGUUUCUUUUCUUUUAAUCAACUUAUUUUCUUUCUCUCCUUAUAGACUUCAAGAGUUUUUUCAGCUUGCUGAUAUAUCUUCAGCCUCCAGAACAGUGCCUAGGAUAUCAAAUAUAUUCAAUGAAUGUUUGCUGACUGAAUCAAUCAAUCAAUCAAUCAAUCAAUGUGUUCCAAAGAUGUUCUGGCAUUGGACUUGCUAGGACUUCAUACAAGAGAGAUGCAUUAGCAAUGCUCCAAGGUUUCUGCCUUGACAGAUUUUUAAAAAAAUAUAUUAGAGCCAGGCAUGGUGGUGCAAGCCUGUAAUCCCAGCGUUUUGGGAGGCUGAGACAGAAGAAUCUUGAGUUCAAAGCCAACCUCAGCAAAAGCGAGGCACUAAGCAACUCAGUGAGACCCUGUCUAUAAAUAAAAUAGAAAAUAGGACUGGGGAUAUGGCUCAGAGGUGGAGUGCCCCUGAGUUCAAUCUUUAGUACCAAAACAAACAAAAAACAAAACAAAACAAAACAAAAUAUAUAUAUAUAUAUAUAUAUAUAUAUAUAUAUAUAUAUAUAUAUAUAUAUAUUGGAGCCAGGCACAGUGGCACAUGCCUGUAACCUCAUUGAUUCAGGAGGCUAAGGCAGGAGGAUUGCAAGUUUCAGGCCAGCCUCAGCAAUUUAGUGAGACCCUGUCUCAAAAUAAAAAUAAAAAGGGCUAGGAAUAUGUCUCAAUGGUAAAGUGCCUCUGAGUUCAAUCCCCAGAACAAUCAAUCAAUCGAUCUAUAUCAAUGUCAACAUAUAUGUAUAUAUGUGUUGUGUGAGUGUGUGUGUGUGUGUGUGUGUGUAUAAGCCUGUAUAUUAGAGUACAUAGACACACUGAGACAUAUCAAUACCUAUAUACAAUGUAUAAGGAUAAGAUGAGGGUAACUGGCAUUUCCAUCAUCAUGAACAUAUAUCAUUUCUUUGUGUUUAGAACAUUCAAAAUCUUCUCUACUGGCUAAUUUGAAAUAUUCAAUUGCCAACCAUAGUUAUCCUACUGUGCUAUAGAAUAUUACAAGUUAUUCCCCCUUCCAAGUGCACCCUUGUACCACUAACCAUCUUUUCUUCAUUCCUCCUCCCCCACACAUUUCCCAGGCUCUGAUAACCACUACUUUACUCUCUACUUUUUGGAGAUCAAUUUUUUGGUUUCCAAAUAUCAAUGAGAACACAUGGUAUUUGUUUUUCUGUGCCUGAUUUAUUUCACUUGACAAAAUGUCAUCCAGUUCCUUCUAUUUUGCUGCAAAUGAUGGAAUUUUGUUGCUUUUUACAGAUGAAUAAUAUUCCACUAUGUUUAUAGACCACAUUUUCUUUAUCCAUUCAUUCAUUGACGGCACCUAGGUUGGUUCCACCUCUUGACAGUUGUGAAUAGUGCUGCAAUAAACACAUGAGUGCACAGGUCUCUUCCACAUUAUGAUUUCAAUUUUCUUGAAUAUAUACCCAGUAGUGAGAUGGCUAGAUCAUAUGGGAUUUCUAUUUCUAGUUUUCAGAGGGUGCUCCAUACUCUUUUCCAUAGCAGUUAUACUAAUUUACAUUUCCACCAACAGUGUAUGAGAAUUCCCCUUUCUCUGCAUCCUCACCAGCAUCUGUAAUUUUUUUGUCUUUUGUUUUUCUUUCUUUUGUACUAAGGAAUGAGUCCAUGGUGUCUUACCACUGAGCUACAUCCCCAGUCCAUUUUUUAAAAUAUUUUUUAGUUGUCAAUGAACCUUUGUUUUACUUAUUUAUAUGCAGUGCUGAGAAUCAAACCCAGUGCCUCACACGUGCUAGGCAAGCGCUCUACCACUGAGCCACAACCCCGGCCCCAUAGCCCUUUUUUUUGUUUUUGAGACAGGGUCUCACCUAAGUUACUGAGGGUCCUACUAAAUUGCCCAGGCUGGCCUUGAAUGUGCACUCCUGCCUCAGCCUCCCUACUCACUGGGAUUCAGGGGCAUGCCACCAUGCCUGGCAUUUUGUUUUGGUUUGGUUUGGUUUUUUGUCUUUUUGCCAAUAGCCAUUCUAACUGGGGCAAGGUGAUCUCUCGUUGUGGUUUGGGUUUACAUUUCCCUGAUGAUUAGCAAUGUUGAGAAUUUUUUCAUAUGUGUAUUGACCAUUCAUAUAUCCUCUUGAGAAAUGACUAGUCAGGUCAUUCACCCAUGUUUAAUUGGAUUAUUCAGCUUUUUGGUGGUGGGUUGUUGAGUUUCUUAUAUAUUCUAGAACUUAAUCCCUUGUCAGAUAAAUAGUUAGCAAACAUCAUCUCCCAUUCCACAAGUUGUCUCUUUACUCUGUCUACGAUUUCCUUUGCUGUAAUGACACUUUUGUUUUGUUUUGUUUGUUUUGGGUACCAGGGGUUGAACUCAGGGACACUCCACUUCUGAGCCACAUCCCCAGCUCUAUUUUGUAUUUUAUUUAGAGACAGGGUCUCACUGAGCUGCUUAGUGCCUCACUUUUGCUGAGGCUGGCUUUGAACUCUCAAUGUUCCUACCUCAGCCUCCUGAGCCACUGGGAUUACAGGCGUGUGCCACCACAUCCAGCUUGUAAUGACACUUUAUAAUUUGAUGUAAUCCAUUUGUCUAUUUUUGCCUCUGUUGCCUAUGCUUUUGAGGCCACAUCCAAAAAAAAAUCAGACCAAUACCUUGUAGUGUUUUCCCUGCAUUUUCUCCUAUUAGUUUCAUAGUUUGGGGUCAUAUGUUUAAGCUUUUAACUCAUUUUGAGUUGAUUUUUUGUGUAUGGUGAGAGAUGGGGUUCUAAUUUCUUUUCUCUGUUUAUGGAUAUCCAAUUUUCCAGACCCACUUAUGGGAAAAAAUUGUCCUUACCAUACACUAUGGCACAUGCCUAUAAUCCUAAGUACUUGGGAGGCAAAUGCAAGAGGAUCACAAGUUCAAGGACAGCCUCAGCAAGAUCUCAUCUCAAAAAAAAUUUAAAAGGGCUGGGGUUGUAGCUCAGUAGUGAGCACCCCUGGGUUCAAUCCCUAGUACCCACCCCCCCCCCAAAAAAAAAGGAAGGAAGGAAAUAUUCUAUUUUAAAAAUAUUUUUAGUUGUAGAUGGUCACAAUACCUUUAUUUUGUCUAUUUAGUAUUUUUAUGUGGUGUUGGGGAUUGAACCCAGUGCUUAAUGCAUGCUAGGCAAGCACUCUACCACUGAGGCACAAUCCCAGCCCUAUUAUUUCUGUAAUCUAUGUGUUUGAUGUCUUCACUGAUAAUCAGUUGACUACAGAGGUGUAGAUUUAUCUCUGGGUUUUCUAUUCUGUUCCAUUGGUCUAUGUGUUCAUUUUUACAUCUGUACCCUGCUGCUUUGUUUAUUAUUGCUUUGGAAUAUGCUUUGAAGUCAGAUAUUGUAAUGCUUACUAUUUUGUUCCUUUUGAUACAGGAUCACUUUCUCUAUUGGGAGUCUUUUGUGGUUCUACAUAAAUUUUAGGAGUUUUUUUUUUUUCCUUUUCUAUUUCUGUGAAGAAUGCCAUUGGUAUUUUGAUAGGAAUUGUAAUCAAUUGGUAGAUUGGUUUGGUUCUGUGACCCAUAGAAUAGUGCUUCUCAGUGAUGUGGAAGGAACAGGGCAUCAGAGAAAGCACAUAACAAGUUGAACUUGGUCAAGUGGAUCUGAGAUGGAUGGUGAUCGGGUUAUGUCAUGGGACGGUAGAAAUGUGAGUUUCAGAGCUCAUGAGAUAAGAAAAAGGGUCAUGGAUUACAUAAGGGAUAGAGGAAGUCGUGGGGUUAAGUAAUAAGAGACCCAAGGGGUGCUCCCUGGAAAAGAAGAAAGAGCCAAUGUCAGAAGAAGAUGCAGGGGUGUCUGGAAAAGGGCUCCAAGAAUGAAGGCAGGUCCUCUUCAAUGCUACUGAGAGCUGAAGAAACAAGAUUAGAAUUGGAACGCUUUAGAGACUGAAGUUUACUGGUGGCAACAAGAGCAAGGGAUCAGAGUUUUCCAGAUCCACAAGAUAUUGAAAGACGUCAAUCACUUUCUCUGAGAAGGAGUUGUGAUUGAUGGUAAAGGAGAAAGAAGAGGGUGGUCCUAAGAGUGCAGGAAGUUAGGCAUGGUGCACACUUGUAAUCCCAGCAGCUGGGGAGGCUGAGGCAGGAAAAGCACAAGUUCAAGGCCAGCCUCAGUGACUUCACAAGGCUGUAAGCCAAUUUAUCGAGACCCUGUCUCAAAUUUUAAAAAAGGGUUGGGGAUAGUAGCUCAGUGGUAAAACACCCCUGGAUUCAGAGAUGGACAAAAGUUGCCGUCUAACAGUAUAGACCCAGUAAACUCACCCUCAUCCACAGCAGAUACAGUCCAGGACCCCCAAUAGACAUAUGCCUGAAAUCACAGACAGUACCCACCCUAUAUAAACUGUGUUUUGUUCUGUUUUGUUUUUGUGGUACCAGAGAUGGAACUCUGACUGCUCUACCACGAAGCUACAUCCCCAGCCCUUUGUGGGUUGUUUUUGUUGUUGUUGUUGUUGUUGUUUUUGAGAUAGUAUCUCACUAAGUUACCAAGGCUGGCCUUGAACUUGUGAUCCUCCUGCCUGUGCCUCCUGAGUCACUAGGCUUAUGGGUAUAUACCACCACACCUGGCUCUGUUGUUUCUUAUACAUAUAUACCAACGAUACAAUUUGAUUUAUAAAUUAGACAUGGUAAGAAAUAAUUAACAAACACUAAUGAUGGAAAAGAACAUUAUGAUGACAUACUAUAGUAAAAUUGCCUGCAUUACUACUCUGGCACAUUGGGGCCAUUAUUAAGUAAAAUAAGGAUUACUUGAACACAGUGUUGCAAUACUACAAUAAGUGAUCUGAUUACUGAGAGGGCUACUAAGUGACUAAUGGGAAGGUGGAAUAUUUAGCAUGGAUCCACUGGACAAAAGGAUGUUUAUCCCACGUGUGACAGAGCAGAUGGCAUGAGAUUUUAUUAUGCUACUCAGAAGGAUGCUCAAUUUAGAGCUGGGCGUGGUGGUGCACACUUAUAAUCCCAAUGGUUUGGGAGGCUGAGGCAAGAGGAUCCCAAGUUCAAAGCCAGGCUCAGCAACUUAGAGAGGCCCUAAGCAAUUCAGCAAGACCCUGUCUAAAUUAAAAAAAAAAAAAAUUAAGUGGGGGGGGGGGGCGGGCUGAAGAUGUGGCUCAGUAGUUAAGCACCCCUGGGUUCAACCCCUCCUACCAAAAAAAAAAAAAGAAGAAGAAUGAUGCUCAAUUUAAAAUGUAUGACUUGUUUAUUUCUGGAAUCCAUUUACUCUUUUCUUACCAGACUUGACUGUAGGUAGCUGAAAAUGCAGAAAGAAAAGCCAUAGAUAAGGGAGGAAUACUGUUCUCUUUCCUGCUUUGCCCCAACCUUUCCACUGGUGGGACAGCAGGGAAGAGACUUGGGCAGAGAGCAUUUCUGGGUUCUUUGAACGGAUUCAGUCUUAAUCUUGUCCUCGCUGUCAAAAGAAGCUUAAAUGGAAUACUCAGCAGGAAGUUCCGGAUUGCAGAGGUGGGAUCCUGGUUUCCCUCCUGUGCUCCAGGAUUGAAACCCAUUGAGGCCUGUGGCAGGUGACAUUGUCCAGAACUGCUACAACCGCCCAUCCCACUUGCUUUUGUACCAUACAACAAGGUACCCCCCACAGAGAGGUGGAAUCUGUGUCCCUCCACCCUAAACCUGGGACCAUCUCAGCUGGUAGAGUCUGCUAUAAAUGUUGGGUGACUGCAGUCUCAUGGUUCGACCUCUCAGACAAGACCAUGAAAUUUUUACAGGUCUCUCUCUUUCAGGGCAUGUGCCUUUGAAACCCCGAGACACCAUGUUAACAAGACUGGUUAUCCUAAAGCCACCAUACAGAGAGGCCCCCAGCCCUAGCCUCAGCAGAGCUCCCAGCUAACACUUCCUGGCCACAUACUCUGCCUCAUUUUCUGGAGGCUCCCCAAGGUCCUGCCCUCUCAACCCUGUUCUGUAUCCACAGGAAAGCAGGCUUUAUGCCCCCAUGCCCACCCACUCGGGGCCCAGAGGAAGUGAUAAACAAGCAGCACCCCCACCCAGCAGAGUCUCCACUGUCAGAAGGCCCUAAUGGUGGCUGGCACAGGUCACCCACCCAGCAACCAUCUCCUCACCCACCCACUCCAGGAAACGUGGAAAAUCCAGAGACCAUCCUAGGCCAGCUGUACUCCAGGAAGAAACUGGGCAAGCUGCCCAGAAUGACACAAAGUGGACUUUGGGCUGAUUGCCCAAGUUGAACUAAUGCCCUCACCUUCUUCUAAAGGGUACUCUCUGCAGAACCAAGGCCACAGCCUGUCAUGAAAGCAGAUGUUGACAGAGCAGGACAGAUGGGGUACGAGGGUCCCUUGGGAUAUGCGAAGCACAUCUCUGAUACUCACCACCCCAUCAGUACUGAUCAGAGUAAGUGGGGGAGGAGAAAAAGACCCCAACAUGUCGAGUAGUAAUGCCACCAUCAUGAAUUGGGAGCAGCCCAGCUGCUUCUGAGGGUGGAGCGCUAAGACACCUGGAUUCAUCCCUGCUCUCAGGCGGUGGGGAUGAGAACACUUGGGAAGCUCAAUGAGGUGGGACUUCCUUAAAGCAAAACAGCAGUAAAAAUCAGGAAAAAAAAAUAUUUCAUAUCCAGUAUUUGUGUUAGGCUAUAUGCUACCUAGACCCCCCCACCCCACAAGGCAUUUAAGGUAGGAUUUGAUUUACUAUUUUUUAUUCUCAGUUACUCAGUCUUUCAAUAAAUACUUAUGGAGCACCUUAUGCGCUAAACACCACAAGCAAAAAACAUAUUUUCAUAAAUACAUGUGUGAAUAUAAGCAAAGGAUAUCUCUAAAACAGUCGUUCUCCAUCAAGCCUCCCUCUUCCCAGGAGACAUCUGUCAAUGUUUGGAGACAUUUCCAGGUGUCAUAACUGGGAGGUGCUACUAGUAUCUAGUGGGGAGAGGCCAGGGAUGCUGCCUUGCACAGGACACCCCGUGACAAAGCAUUGCCUGGUCUAAAGAAUCAUUCAUGCUGAGAUUGUAAAACUCCGUCCAGAAGGAUACUCAAGAAACAGGUCAAGCUGGGAAUGCAGCUCAGUGGUAGAGCACUUGUCUAGCAUGUGCAAGUCCCUAGGUUAAAUCCCAGCCACCCCCUCCACACACACACACACACACGAUAUAGAUUAACAGUGGUUCCCCAUAUAGUGGGGUGCCAGAGACCAUGAUGCACAGGUAUUCGAGAUCAUGACUUCCCCUGUGUAUACUUCUGAACCAUUUUGUACUGAAUUUUUACCAAGUGCAUGUAUUAAUUAUUUUAUAAAAAAGAAGAACUAUUACUUGAUUGGGCCAUAAUUAUUGAGUGCCCUUCUCUUGAUUGUUAGAGAAAGAAAUUUAAAGGAGAGAAGAAACAGAAUCUGUCACUGCGUCUGGUGCCUGCAGUCUGUGAACCCGUCUAGCCUUCCUCCAGACCCCACUUUCUCAAACUCAGUCUCACCCCUGUCAUGGACCAGGGCCUUCUUGCUCCUGAGGACUGUCUUAGGCAUGGUAGGGUUUUGAGCAGCAUCCCAGAAUGUUCUUGGAGAUUCCCCUUAUCCUUUAUCCACUCCUGGGUCCCUUCAGCCCCCAGGAGCCUUCUGGUAUGGCUUCGACUAGCAUUCUGUGUUUUCUGUACUCAUCCUGCCUUUCUGGAUAAGUUGUAUUCUGCUUUCCAGGACAGAAGCAGCUUCAGUGAGAACUGGAUUGCUGUGAACACACAGAAGCAUUUUCUAGGCGCUAAAGGACACUCACUAUAUAGCAGCUGGACACAACAGGCCCAGGAAGCGCUCAUCAGCACGGUGGCUGUGGUCCCUUCCAUAGCCACAGGUAGCAGAGUCAAGUUAUUAAACUCUCCACAAGUGAGAGUAGCAGAAAAAAAAAUGGCAUAAGAAUCAAAACCUGCCCACUUCAAGUCCUUGAGGUAGUUUUGACUCAGGGCAAAGUGGCAAAGUCAAUAAAGUCAGCCAAGGAAGUUAGUAUCUGUAAGAAUCUGGGUUUUGAAGCCAGGUUGCCUGGAUUGAUAGCCUUAUUCUGCUACUUCCUGCCUGUGUGAUCUCAAACAAAUUACUGAACCUCUCUGAGCCUGAGGAGCUACAAUGAUGAAUUAGAGAUAAUAACAGAGACCUCUUCCUAGUAUCAUUAAAUCAACAGAGAUAGUGCAUACGGAGUUCUUAACACAAAGACCGAAACAUUGUAACUCUGUGUUACAUGAUUUCUGUUGUUUUUAUUUUAUUGUAAAUCAAUAAAUAAAAUACUAACUACCUUACCGUGGUGCAUGAACCUAUAAGUGGAGUCCCAUAGAAAUUUGUACAAAUUCCAGUUUGAAGGCAAAAGGACUGGAAAAUUGAAUGAGAAGUUUCUGGUCACUUACAUAAUAUCCACACAACACACACACACACACACACACACACCCAUAUUGUAAAAUAAAAGGUUCUUUUAAAAACAAAUUUUAAUGGUGUUUUAGCGCAUGUGAACAGCUAAGGCACGAUUGUUCUGUUCUUGGUUUCGGCUGUUUUCCAACUAUGGUGUUUUUCUCAUUGAUCAGACAGAAAUCCCCAAGGUCUGGCAAAGGAAGCUUUUAAUUGCUCUGGAUGGACCAAUUUUUGGCUUAGCUGCUCAAGCACAUAAUUGGGAGAGAAAGAGAGAGAGAGAGAGAAACUAAAUCAUUUUGAGAUUGCUUUAAGACAAAUAUACAGUCAGACAUCCCUUUACCUGACCAAACCUCAAAAUUUUCCCACAAGCUCUGGGAACAGAGAGAGUAGGUAGUACAUCACCAGAGAUCAGAGAGUGAAGAUCAUUUUGCUGAUCUUUAUCAAAAUGAAAAUAAGAGUGAUCAUAAUUAUCAUUCUCCUGUUAUAGGUGGGGCUUCCCCAGAAGCAGACUGAGACCAGGAUUCUGGUCAAUCCACUUUAUUUAGAGGGGAUCCUGGAAUCACUAGGAGGGGAGACAGAGAAUGGAGGACAGCCGGGAAAGGUGUAGGAUUGAGUAAACUAUGGCUGAGGCCACUGGAGCUCCAUCCCCCCAGGGGACCUUGGGAGCCAGUGCAAAAUAGACACCUCAGCAGCAUCUCAUCCAGCCACAAGGGAACUGGGGAAUUUGUACCCCAAGUCCCAUCUGAUAUUGGCUAAGAGCAGUCUGUUCCCGGGGUGUAUCACGGCCCGGCACUUCCAGCCAUCCCCAGUGCAGGCAGCCAGAGGAAACCCUGGGGCAAAGUCACAGAAGCUUGCAGCUGGGAAUCAGGCAUUCUGGAAAAACACCAACAGCAUCUGCUUCAACAUCCAAAUAUAAGACAACCCCAAAAUAGGAAGAUUCCCUGCUUCCCCACUUAAAAGAUCCAAAGGAUUUGUGACCUAAUGGAAUACAUAAUCUUUUCUAAAGCAGAUGAAAUGGUUAAAAAAAAAAUCUCCUUAUAGCCUUUAUGACCUGCCCUAUAUGCUUAUAAUCACGUUAUGUGCGAUGAUAACAUUAAUUUAGAAAAAGUCGCUUUCUUUGCACUCAAUCGAUGUUAUUCCAACUCUUCCAGCUCAUCUUUUCUCAUCAUUGAAGGCACCUUUUGAGUCAUUUUUGUUUCCCCCAGCACAUUUUCUUCCCUCCCUUCCCCAUUCUUGGUGAUACAGCAUUUUUGGAAUCUGUAGGAUGCUUUUGCUGGAAUUUUUAUCCCAAGCCUCAAGCACCUAUUUGCAUAACAUUAGGGCAGCUGGCUGUCCCAUUCAGCACCGAGGUGCCAAAGCUUGAUCUCCAUAAUGUAACCACCCAGGGUAAGGCUUUCUUAAGUGUCCUUAAAAGACUUGUUCACACUCCAGUGCAGCCUCGUGGAGCCGCCACGCCCUUCAGAAUCCAUUCCAAAUCUGGUUCAAUUUCCUAGCCUCCUAUCUCAGCCUGUUUGUGCUAUUGUAACAAAAUGCUCCAGGCUGGAAAGAGCAGAAACUAAUUCCCUUACAGUUCAGGAGGCUGGAAGUCCAAGAUCAAGGUGCUGGAGAGGGCCUUCUCUCUGUGCUUUCAAGAUGGUGCCUGACUGCUGUGUCUCCAGAAGGGAAAAAUGCUGUGUCCUCACUUGGAAUAUGGGCUCUUAGCGUGUGUGUGUGUGUGUGUGUGUGUGUUUUUUUCCUGGGGAUUGAAGGGAGGGGUGUGCUACCACUGGGCUAGAUCCCCAGCCUCUUAUUUAUUUAUUUUUUAUUUUGAGAUAGGGUUUUGCUGAGGCUGACCUCAAACUUGCAAUCCUCCUGCCCCAGCCUCCCAAGUCACUGGGAUUACAGGCAUGCGCCACUGUGCCCACCCUUCCAGCUCUUUCAUAUAAGCACUAAUCCAUUCAUGAAGGUGGGGGAGGCCCCACCUGUUACUACCAACACAGUGGUGGUAAGUUUCAAUAGAAACUUUAGAGGGGACACCUUCAAACUCUAAUACCUCCUUUUGAGCAGUUUCUUCAGAUGACCUUGGUUAAUGGCCAGAAUCACCUCUGAUGGAGAUUGUUUCAGGUAACACAUCCCUCCCAUACCUCACUAGGUUGUUCAAAAUAAAAUACUUGAGAGCCCCCCACAACAUGAAAGAGUGCAUGAGGUUUCUAUUGAAAACAGAGGCUCUUUCCCCAGGGAACUUCUGAGAAGCCUGGAACGUCACCGUAUAUCCCUGCCGACUAGUUCUUCUGGCAGUCAUCUUAAUCCUCACAACCAACCCAGGAAGUGGAUUAGAGCAUCAUUCCCAUUUUACAGAUGGAGAAAUGGAGGCUUUGAAGCAGCUCAAAGAGCAGUGGAAUGACAGUGGUGGGUGUGUCUUUGAGGUGUGCAUACCCCCUCCACCAUGCUGCUGUCCCUUGGGAAAGGGCUGUGCUCAUGGACUUGGAUGGUAGACUCCUAGGGCAGCAAAGUGCCAGCCAGCUCAGCAGCCUUCACAGGGUCCUCUCUCUACUCCUCUCGCUUUGCUGAGCUAGAGAAGCAAGAGGCAAUCACCAUUACUCCAGCUGAAAACCUCUACAAGGAAAUGAAAGUCCCCCCUCAAGGGAACUUCUAAAAACUGUAACUAAGUCCAUUUCAAAUGGGCAAAUAAAUGUCUACAAAGGAUUUUUUAAAUAAAAC